UGCCAUUUGUAUAUAUUUGAACUGCACCGU
Molecule: small RNA, 30 nt
Filed under: Bombyx mori (domestic silkworm)
Lineage: Eukaryota; Metazoa; Arthropoda; Insecta; Lepidoptera; Bombycidae
Description: ovarian small RNA-33715
Source: RNAcentral